Molecule: long non-coding RNA, 2016 nt
Organism: Gorilla gorilla gorilla (western lowland gorilla)
Lineage: Eukaryota; Metazoa; Chordata; Mammalia; Primates; Hominidae
Exons: 3
Source: RefSeq, a predicted model, not a curated record
GCAGGCGCGCCUGGGAGUGGCCGCGAAGCUAGUCCCCAAACAAAGCUGGAGCCAAUGCGCUCUCUGGGGUCCUUCACAUCCUGCUACUCAACGACCUGAAGUAAGGAACUGAAGUUCAAGUUCAAGUUCUGCCACUCGCCAGCUGUGACCAGAGCACUUUGCCUCAUCUCAAUGAGCCCUGGGUUCCCACCUGUGCAUGAGUCUAAGGUGCCAUUUUCUACGAUUCUUGGAUUUAUUUUGUCUACAGGUCCUGCUGACUUCCCCUUCAGAAAAGGACUGAGCAACCUCUCAAGGAUGCUCCUACAGCUUACCUAUGUGACAUUUCUCAGGAUAUUCGAGCUGAUAGUUUUUGGAAGGACAGGAGGGCAUGGAGAGAGUUUCAGGUAUGUAAGGUUUGCUUCUUAAGCACAUUCUGGCAAACCUCAGGCCACGUUUUACUCUGGGUCUCCAUCAGCGUGCACAAAAUAGCAGUGUCCCCUUGACCUGCAGCAAUAUUCGUUUGUGAUGGCCCCUGCCUCUUCAGAGCUGCCACAGGACCUGCCUCAUUCAGAUGGAAAGCAAAUGGCACUGGAAGAACGUUUCAUCUCCUGCAUCUGUGGGAUCAGCCCCAGUACAGGCAAAAAUCUCAUGCUUUCAUACCAGCCCCUCUGGGGCUUUCAUCUCUGCUUCAAAAAAAUGGACAGCUUCAAAAAUUCAAAAAUCAAUUGGAAUGGAGCCAGCUCUGUCCAGUGGGUUAUUAAUGGUCCUGGAGCUGACUAAUCCUAUUUGCACAGCCUUUUGGUAAACAGCUUCAACAACAACUAGGGUGGAAAAGAAAACACACACCCCAUCCAAUCAAGACAAACUUCAAGUAUUGAUUUCACCGCCUCCUUCUCCCCUGCUGCCACUUUUGAAACAAAUUUAGAGUAUGACACCAGGGUCAUUGAUCAUUGCCAAACCCCCACGUCACCAGGUCCUGACUAUGUUCUGCUGGAGUAGUACAUUGCUUCAUUCUGCUGGAAUAACUUUUCCAAGAUUUCCUGAGGUAGGGAAUAUAAAUUGCUGGAUCCCGGGGAAGACGGCAGGGAAAGGAAUAUCUGGUUGGGCUCAGGUACUCCAGGUAGCUCUCCCUGACUGAUCACUUCUCAGGUGCCGCGUAAGCCUCCACAGGAGCCGUGGGUCCUCCCUGAGCCCUGCAAACAGAUCCCAUUCCUGCCCCAGAGUCUUUACGGAGAGGCUUCCAGGUCUCCAUCAAACUUCUUUCUGCUUUAGCUUCUAUUCUGUUUGUGGGAAAGACAAGGAGAACCGUGAGAGCUAUUUCAGAGGGACCUUGUCUCAUCAGUCUACACCCUGGGCUUGCUGCCCUGCCAACUUAAAAAAAAAAAAUGGCUUAGGGCCGGGUGCAGUGGCUCAUGCCUAUAAUCCCAGCACUUUGGGAGGCCGAGGUGGGCAGAUCACGAGGUCAAGAGAUGGAGACCAUCCUGGCCAACACAGUGAAACCCCGUCUCUACUAAAGAUACAAAAAUUAGCUGGGCAUGGUGGCACGCACCUGUAGUCCCAGCUACUCAGGAGGCUGAGGCAGAAGAAUUGCUUGAAUCCUGGAGGUGGAAGUUGCAGUGAGCCGAGAUUGCGCCACUACAUGCCAGCCUGGUGACAGUGUGAGACUCUGUUUCAAAAAAAAGAAAAAAAGGUUUUGGUCCUUACUCAUAGUGACAGAAACAAUGACAACCUGGUGACAUGCAGACAUCAAUUUCCCCUUCUCUUCGUUGUUUUAAAAUGUGAUGUUCCUGGCUGGGCAUGCUGGCUCACACCUGUAAUCCCAACAUUUGGGAGGCCAACAUGGGAGGAUUGCUUCAGCCCAAGAAUUUGAGACCAGCCUUGGCAACAUAGUGAGACUCUGUCUCUAAUAAAUACAUACAUACAUAUAUAAAAUGUUUUGUUCCAACACAAAUUAACUCUCUAAUUGUGCAACAUCCUUUCCAACCCUUCACUUCACCUCCAUGUGUUUCAAUGAUUAAUAAAACUGAUUAAUAAAGC